ACGAUGAUGAGUAGCUUGCUACUCUGAUUAGUGGCGCACGGGUGAGUAAUAUAUAGAUAACGUACCUCUUAGACUGGGAUAGCCAUUGGAAACGAUGAUUAAUACUAGAUACUCCUUCUAGCUCUAAUGCUAGUCGGGAAAGUUUUUUCGCUAAGAGAUCGGUCUAUAUCCUAUCAGUUAGUUGGUGAGGUAAUGGCUCACCAAGGCAAUGACAGGUAGCGGGUUUGAGAGGAUGAUCCGCCACACCGGUACUGAGACACGGACCAGACUCCUACGGGAGGCGGCAGUGAGGAAUAUUGCACAAUGGGGGAAACCCUGAUGCAGCAACGCCGCGUGGAGGAUGACGCGUUUCGGUGUGUAAACUCCUUUUAUAUGUCAAGAAAAUGACGGUAGCAUAUGAAUAAGCACCGGCUAACUCCGUGCCAGCAGCCGCGGUAAUACGGAGGGUGCAAGCGUUAUUCGGAAUCACUGGGCGUAAAGGACGCGUAGGCGGGUUUGUAAGUCAGGUGUGAAAUCCUACAGCUUAACUGUAGAACUGCACUUGAAACUACUGACCUAGAGUAUGGGAGGGGGAGAUGGAAUUAGUGGUGGUAGGGGUAAAAUCCGUAGAUAUCACUAGGAAUACCUAAAGCGAAGGCGAUCUCCUGGAACAUAACUGACGCUAAGCGUGAAAGCGUGGGGAGCAAACAGGAUUAGAUACCCUGUAGUCCACGCCCUAACGAUGACACUAGUCGUCGUGAUGCUAGUC
This 748-nucleotide ribosomal RNA is filed under the name uncultured bacterium. Its description in RNAcentral is "bacterial SSU rRNA". It matches the Rfam family "Bacterial small subunit ribosomal RNA", at positions 66 to 836 of the family's 1533-position model. The record is from RNAcentral.